GACGAACGCUGGCGGCGUGCCUAAUACAUGCAAGUAGAACGCACAGUUUAUACCGUAUCUUGCUACACCAUAAACUGUGAGUUGCGAACGGGUGAGUAACGCGUAGGUAACCUGCCUGGUAGCGGGGUAUAACUAUUUGAAACGAUAGCUAAUACCGCAUAAUAUUAAUUAUUGCAUGAUAGUUGAUUGAAAGAUGCAAUUGCAUCACUACCAGAUGCACCUGAGUUGUAUUAGCUAGUAGGUGGGGUAACGGCGCACCUAGGUGAGGAUACAUAGCCGACCUGAGAGGGUGAUCGGCAAAGCUGGGAUGGGGACACGGCCAGGACUACUGCGAGAGGCAGCAGUAGGGAACCUUCGGCAAUGGACGAAAGGCUGACCGAGCAACGCCGCGUGAGUGAAGAAGGUUUUCGGAUCGUGAAGCUCUGUUGGAAGAGAGGGACGUGUGUGAGAGUGGAAAGUUCACACUGUGACGGUAUCUUACGAGAAAGGGACGGCUAACUCCGUG
This 505-nucleotide ribosomal RNA is filed under the name uncultured bacterium. Its description in RNAcentral is "partial 16S ribosomal RNA". It matches the Rfam family "Bacterial small subunit ribosomal RNA", at positions 28 to 507 of the family's 1533-position model. The record is from RNAcentral.